UACGUAGGGGGCUAGCGUUGCUCGGAAUCACUGGGCGUAAAGCGCACGUAGGCGGAUUCUUAAGUCGGAGGUGAAAUCCUGGAGCUCAACUCCAGAACUGCCUUCGAUACUGAGAGUCUCGAGUCCGGGAGAGGUGAGUGGAACUCCGAGUGUAGAGGUGAAAUUCGUAGAUAUUCGGAAGAACACCAGUGGCGAAGGCGGCUCACUGGCCCGGUACUGACGCUGAGGUGCGAAAGCGUGGGGAGCAAACAGG
This 253-nucleotide ribosomal RNA is filed under the name uncultured bacterium. RNAcentral describes it as "partial 16S ribosomal RNA". It matches the Rfam family "Bacterial small subunit ribosomal RNA", at positions 524 to 776 of the family's 1533-position model. The record is from RNAcentral.